RNAcentral lists this ribosomal RNA (293 nucleotides) under uncultured microorganism. RNAcentral's name for it is "partial 16S ribosomal RNA". It matches the Rfam family "Bacterial small subunit ribosomal RNA", at positions 505 to 796 of the family's 1533-position model. The record is from RNAcentral.
GUGCCAGCAGCCGCGGUAAUACGAAGGGUGCAAGCGUUACUCGGAAUUACUGGGCGUAAAGCUGCGUAGGUGGUUGUUUAAGUCUGUUGUGAAAAGCCCUGGGCUCAACCUGGGAACUGCAGUGGAAACUGGACAACUAGAAGUGUGGUAGAGGGUAGCGGAAUUCCCGGUGUAGCAGUGAAAUGCGUAGAGAUCGGGAGGAACAUCCAUGGCGAAGGCAGCUACCUGGACCAACACUGACACUGAGGCACGAAAGCGUGGGGAGCAAACAGGAUUAGAUACCCUGGUAGUCC